This 425-nucleotide ribosomal RNA is filed under the name uncultured bacterium. RNAcentral's name for it is "bacterial SSU rRNA". It matches the Rfam family "Bacterial small subunit ribosomal RNA", at positions 354 to 796 of the family's 1533-position model. The record is from RNAcentral.
GUGGGGAAUAUUGGACAAUGGGCGCAAGCCUGAUCCAGCCAUGCCGCGUGAGUGAUGAAGGCCUUAGGGUUGUAAAGCUCUUUCACCGAUGAAGAUAAUGACGGUAGUCGGAGAAGAAGCCCCGGCUAACUUCGUGCCAGCAGCCGCGGUAAUACGAAGGGGGCUAGCGUUGUUCGGAUUUACUGGGCGUAAAGCGCACGUAGGCGGUUUGUUAAGUCAGGGGUGAAAUCCCGGAGCUCAACUCCGGAACUGCCUUUGUUACUGGCAAGCUAGAGUCCGGAAGAGGUAAGUGGAACUCCUAGUGUAGAGGUGGAAUUCGUAGAUAUUAGGAAGAACACCAGUGGCGAAGGCGGCUCACUGGUCCGGUUCUGACGCUGAGGUGCGAAAGCGUGGGGAGCAAACAGGAUUAGAUACCCUUGUAGUCC